AACGAACGCUGGCGGCAUGCCUAACACAUGCAAGUCGAACGAGACCUUCGGGUCUAGUGGCGCACGGGUGCGUAACGCGUGGGAAUCUGCCCUUGGGUUCGGAAUAACAGUUGGAAACGACUGCUAAUACCGGAUGAUGACGUAAGUCCAAAGAUUUAUCGCCCAAGGAUGAGCCCGCGUAGGAUUAGCUAGUUGGUGAGGUAAAGGCUCACCAAGGCGACGAUCCUUAGCUGGUCUGAGAGGAUGAUCAGCCACACUGGGACUGAGACACGGCCCAGACUCCUACGGGAGGCAGCAGUGGGGAAUAUUGGUCAAUGGGCGAAAGCCUGAUCCAGCAAUGCCGCGUGAGUGAUGAAGGCCUUAGGGUUGUAAAGCUCUUUUACCCGGGAUGAUAAUGACAGUACCGGGAGAAUAAGCUCCGGCUAACUCCGUG
This 433-nucleotide ribosomal RNA is filed under the name uncultured bacterium. RNAcentral describes it as "partial 16S ribosomal RNA". It matches the Rfam family "Bacterial small subunit ribosomal RNA", at positions 29 to 507 of the family's 1533-position model. The record is from RNAcentral.